GGUAAUAUAGCUCAGUGGUAGAGUGUAUGCUUAGCAUGCAUGAAGUCCUGGGUUCAAUCUCCAGUACCU
Molecule: transfer RNA, 69 nt
Filed under: Camelus bactrianus (Bactrian camel)
Lineage: Eukaryota; Metazoa; Chordata; Mammalia; Artiodactyla; Camelidae
Also listed under: 2 other names
Rfam family: tRNA
About the family: Transfer RNA (tRNA) molecules are approximately 80 nucleotides in length.
Source: Rfam by way of RNAcentral